Molecule: long non-coding RNA, 932 nt
Organism: Lactuca sativa (garden lettuce)
Lineage: Eukaryota; Viridiplantae; Streptophyta; Magnoliopsida; Asterales; Asteraceae
Source: RefSeq, a predicted model, not a curated record
AAAAAGGAUGCGAUUUUCUUUUUGAUAAAAUAAAUAAUAUAGCGACUUUUCUUUUGUAUCGUUAACAAUUAAAAAAUAAACAGCACCCAUCUUUAUUUUUUAGUAAUUCACCUUGUGACUUGCUCAUUUUGCUGUGAAUGUUGACUUUGAGGUAAAACGAAGAAGAAAGUAAAAAUUAGGGUUUUCCAUCCUGAUCGAUUUCUAACUUUUCUCUUUUGAUUCGUGGUGAAAAUGCUGCAAUUCAUGGCUUCCCACAUCGGUGGCUAUUGAAAGCCGUUUAUGUUUUAUAUAGUCUUGCCUCGCAUCAUACAUCGUCCCUUCGGGGACAUCCGAUAAAAUUGGAACGAUACAGAGAAGAUUAGCAUGGCCCCUGCGCAAGGAUGACACGCACAAAUCGAGAAAUGGUCCAAAUUUUUUUUUGCCCUAAUUCGCUCGAUCGAUCGCUGCAGAUUCGCCGGCGUAUUUCACUAGUUUUUUAAUUCAAUAGCUCCAGAAAGUUUGGAUGCACUGCUUGUUGUCCUGCAAAUUAUAAAGCUAAAAUGAUGAUGAGAUGUAUUACUUCAUCAGAACUCAAACUAGCUGACUUGUUGAACUUUUAUUAUUAUAAUAGACUGUGGCUAUUGGUGGAAUUUGUUUUUGUAACACCAUAAGAUGCAUCAUUUCUUGCCAUAUGGACAAGAAUUCCAUCCAUUUAAACCUCAAAUUUGUACCUAAAAGUUCUCAAAUUGAGUCUCUGAUCUGAAAUUGCUAUUCUGCUUCAAGCUUUGUUGUUGGCUUGUUGCUUCAGCAUUGCUUGUUUGAUGUUCCUGGGUCCCAGUUGAUUGAUUAUUGGUCUCUGUCUUAAUGAAGAGGGAGACCCUAAUUGGUUGACUGUUUGUUUGACCUGUAUUUGUGUUGGUAAUAAGUCUUACUACUAGGGGUACUUUGGUCUA